RNAcentral lists this ribosomal RNA (801 nucleotides) under uncultured bacterium. Its description in RNAcentral is "bacterial SSU rRNA". It matches the Rfam family "Bacterial small subunit ribosomal RNA", at positions 8 to 796 of the family's 1533-position model. The record is from RNAcentral.
AGAGUUUGAUCAUGGCUCAGGACGAACGCUGGCGGCGCGCUUAACACAUGCAAGUCGAGCGAGAACCAGGCCUUCGGGCUUGGGGAAAGCGGCGAACGGGUGAGUAACACGUGGGUAACCCACCCUUGGUACUGGGAUAGCCCGGGGAAACCCGGAUUAAUACCGGAUGGCCCAGCAGCUCUUCGGGGCGGUUGGAAAAGGUAGCUUCGGCCUCCGACCAAGGACGGGCCCGCGGCGGAUUAGCUUGUUGGUGGGGUAACGGCCCACCAAGGCGACGAUCCGUAGCUGGUCUGAGAGGACGAUCAGCCACACUGGGACUGAGACACGGCCCAGACUCCUACGGGAGGCAGCAGUGGGGAAUCUUGCGCAAUGGGCGAAAGCCUGACGCAGCGACGCCGCGUGGGGGAAGAAGGCUUUCGGGUUGUAAACCCCUUUCAGGAGGGACGAAGCCACUCGGGUGAAUAGCCCAGAGGGUGACGGUACCUCCAGAAGAAGCCCCGGCUAACUACGUGCCAGCAGCCGCGGUAAUACGUAGGGGGCAAGCGUUGUCCGGAUUUAUUGGGCGUAAAGAGCGUGUAGGCGGUUUGGUAGGUCCGCUGUGAAAACUCGAGGCUCAACCUCGAGACGCCGGUGGAAACCAUCAGGCUAGAGUCCGGAAGAGGAGAGUGGAAUUCCUGGUGUAGCGGUGAAAUGCGCAGAUAUCAGGAAGAACACCCGUGGCUAAGGCGGCUCUCUAGUACGGUACUGACGCUGAGACGCGAAAGCGUGGGGAGCGAACAGGAUUAGAUACCCCCGUAGUCC